RNAcentral lists this long non-coding RNA (8788 nucleotides) under Malus domestica (apple). RNAcentral's name for it is "long non-coding RNA (MDOM_LNC003205)". Lineage: Eukaryota; Viridiplantae; Streptophyta; Magnoliopsida; Rosales; Rosaceae. The record is from RNAcentral.
UGGGCUCGAAAGAGAGUGGAUCCUUGGUUUCAGACCUAAAAGAUCCUUUGUCUCAAAAAAAUAUAAACAAUGCUCCAAAGGGUAGAAGAAUUCGCCUUUGUAAAAGUGCUCCUCUUUCAAAUUAUGUAGGCUUCGAGACAGGCUUUGCCUCAGGUCCAAGUACCAAAUCCUUUUUCAGAAAGAUACACCCGAGUUUUCGUAUUGUAGCUGCAUUCUUGACUGUCUACUUAGGCUUAGGAACUGUAUGUUUCUACCUCGUUGGGCACCAGCUCAAGGGAGAGAAGACAAAUGGAGUUCUUGAUGCUGUUUAUUUCUGUGUUGUUACAAUGACCACCGUCGGAUAUGGAGACCUUGUGCCAAACAGUGUUUUUUCAAAACUACUGGCUUGUGCUUUCGUCUUCUCAGGAAUGGCUCUCGUCGGGAUGACCUUGAGCAAAGCAGCUGACUAUUUGAUAGAGAAGCAGGAAUUAUUGCUCGUUAAAGCCUUACAUAUGAAUCAAAAAGCUGGGCCUAUUGAAAUUCUUAAAGAUAUCGAGACCAACAAUCUGAGGUACAAAUGUAUUGUGGUCUUUAUCCUUCUUUUGCUACUCAUAAUUGGUGGCACAGUCUUCCUAGCUACUGUUGAGAAAUUGAGCCUUGUGGAUUCAUUCUAUUGCGUUUGUUGUACAAUCACAACCCUGGGUUAUGGAGAUAAGAGCUUUUCGACUCAAGCAGGGCGUGCUUUUGCAGUAUUCUGGAUAUUGACAGGUACCAUUUGUUUAGCUCAGUUUUUCCUCUACGUUGCCGAGCUAAACGCCCAGAGCAGACAACGGGCGUUAGUAAAGUUGAUUCUCACUCGUAGGAUGACCAAUGUAGAUUUAGAGGCAGCUGAUCUGGAUGGCGAUGGCGUUGUUGGGUAUGUUAAACUUUUCUUCACAAUUGCUUCUGUAGUAUGAGCUUAUUAUUUCUGAAUUCUUAUCUCCUGAUGGUUAACCAACAAAUUUUGACACUCUGCCUCCAUCCUUUACAUAGGGCUGCUGAAUUUGUCAUAUACAAGCUCAAAGAGAUGGGGAAGAUUAGCCAGGAAGAUGUUAGACUUGUAAUGGAGGAGUUUGAAGAUCUUGAUGUCGAUCAGUCAGGAACGUUGUCAACGUCAGAUAUAAUGCUUGCGCAACAACCUCAAAUCGAGAAGUAACUCUGGCACUAUGCUGGUGGCUUUGUAAGUUCGUGAUAUGUAUGAUUACUUAUUCUUGCUGUGGUAUGAAUUUCUUAACUAUGCCAUUUCACAAACACUCCCAUAUAUCUCUUCCUAUAAAGACUUGGUUAAAACGCUUGGAUUGCUUCUGUGUAUUUUGGAGAUCAUUGUUCAGUAUCGUCCUACCUCGAUGUCAGUCUCAUCCGUCAAAAAUACAGUUUGUGUAAUUAAAUUGCACGAUGACAGUCACUGACAAAAAGAAUUUUGGAAGAAAAUCACGGUUUAUGACUCCUAAAAUCUUUACUUAAAUGGAAUAUAGCGUACAAACAAAUUUUGGUCCUUCUUUAGAUUGACAAAUGGGACUGCUUGGUUCCUGAAUUCAAGAAUUUCGCCUGAUGUGGUUCAAUCUGUUUUGUGUUACGACAGAUUAAAGAUUUGGAGGUUGUGCAUACGCGACGAGGAUGCAGUGUGGUGAGAGCACUGAAGGUGUGAUGUACUGAGGCACUGUAUAAUGAUCAUAUUACACACUGCCUAAGAAAUCUACUUGUUAAAUAGUUUAUUAAAUAUAGAUUAUGAAAUCUACUGGUUAAAUUAUUGGGUACUUAACUGCUUAUACAAAUGGAUCUGCUUCUGCAUUGAUUUUUACUUAACAUGAAUUAAGACUCAAUUAUAACAGAGUUUAUCCACUGAACCGAAUGCAUAGGAAGCAGGGCCGGCCAUGAGGGUAUGCAAAAGGUAUCACCGUACACAGUGGCGGAUCUAGGAUUUUAACUUAGGGUGGUCCCAAUAUAAAAGCUCCAAAAAUAAAAACAAGACGAAAAUAUCAUUGAACAAAUAAAUGGCAAACUACAAUUUUCAUUCAUAAUCUUUGUGCUAAACAAGCUAGAAAUACUAAAUUUGUCCACGACGGGAUCUCAUACAUUGAAAACAUGUCAUGAUAGUUUCAUUGUCAAUACAAGAAAAAACAUAUUUCUCAAUGUAAACAACUAAGCUAUCAUUUAACCAUUGAUCCCUCAUUCUGUUGCGGAGUGGACUCUUUAUGAUAUUCAUGGUGGAAAAUGCUCUCUCCACUGAAGCAGUUGCAACAGGUAAAACCAAAGUCAAUUCAAUAAGUAACCAUUUUCUUAGCAAGAUCACUAAUGCUUUGCAACUGAGAAAAGUCACUUCUCGAACACAUAGAAUGAAUAUAAAUAUCAAGUUGAUCUUCAAGUGCCAAUAGGUCUUUCUUCGUAAAAUCUUGAGGGUACAAUUGAGUAAGGCGAAGUAGCUUUUCUUUGUCAAAAGCUGUAAAAGAAUCAUUUGAACUCAAACUAGUCAAACAAAUGAGCAAUUCAGUACUUGUUUCAUUGAAGCGAUCAUUUAACUCUGUAAGCUAGGAAUCAAAGACAACAAAAAAUAGCUCCACUUUGUAAUGAUGACAGUUGGUCUUUUUGUGGGUAUUACGGCGCAACCUCCCAUGAGCUACAUAUGUCUCAUCCAUGUUAAUAACCUCAAUAUGAUGUUGGACCGUCGCAAAAGGCCCUUUUUUUGUAGUGUAUAAUUACCCGUUCAAUAAGCAAGUGAAGAUUGUCAUUGCUAUAAUGACUCUUCAUAACUACAUACGGAGGUAUUCUGAACUUGAUCGUCAUUUUGAUGAAAGGGACUUUUGUGAAGAGAGCGAUAUUAGUCUAAAAUAUCCAUAAUAUCCCGAUAUUUCCAUAAAAAAUUCCGUGUUUUUGGACUACCGAUAUUUCCGAUAUCAUCGAUAUUUUAGACCUUGCUAAGUCACACAUGUAUCUUACCAUGCAAUGUAUAAAGUGUAAAAUAUUGUUCUAAUUCAAUAUAUAUAAAUGAUUAUGGUGUGUUUAAACUUCUUUCAUUAAUUACUACAUAUUUUCUACACUCACAAUGUUUGUCAGCUCGUUAUAUAAUCAACUUAAAUCAGUUAUAUCUAUCAUGCAAUGCAUUUCCUUCCAAUUUUUUGUGAUAAACUAAUGGAUAAUUGACUAAAUAAACAUCCUGCAAAGUUUCAAUAAAAAUUUCCAAGUUUUUCUUACAAUUUCCGUGGUUUAGGACUACCGAUAUUUCCGAUAUCAUCGAUAUUUUAGACCUUGCUAAGUCACUCAUGUAUCUUACCAUGCAAUGUAUAAAGUGUAAAAUAUUGUUCUAAUUCAAUAUAUAUAAAUGAUUAUGGUGUGUUUAAACUUCUUUCAUUAAUUACUACAUAUUUUCUACACUCACAAUGUUUGCCAGCUCGCUAUAUAAUCAACUUAAAUCAGUUAUAUCUAUCAUGCAAUGCAUUUCCUUCCAAUUUUUUGUGAUAAACUAAUGGAUAAUUGACUAAAUAAACAUCCUGCAAAGUUUCAAUAAAAAUUUCCAAGUUUUUCUUACAAUUUCCGUGGUUUUUAUUCAAUUUUUAUCUAUAUCGAUAAUAUCCCAAUAUUUCCAUCGAAAUUUCCUUGUUUUUAGACUACCAAUAUUUCCGAUAUCAUUGAUAUUUUAUACCUUGGUGAUGAUGAUGAUGAAGAAUACCAAAAUUAUCAAGUUGAAUGAUCACAUGAGAUAGAGACAUUAAGAAAUAGAAUAGCGGCAAGUUUGAUGAAUGCAUCUAAUUAGACUACCUUCAAGUACAUUAACAAUAUUGUACAAAUGAAUCCUAGCUAUUUAGUCUAAAAUAUUUCAAUUGAAGUAGUUUGUCAUACUAAUUAAUAUUUAAGAUAAAGUUUAUAAAUAUUUUUCUUUUAAAAAUAAAGUAUAUUUAGUAAUUCACCUUUAUUUGUUAAGAAAAUUAAAUCAAUAGCACAACUAGUAUUAUACCAUUUUGGUCAUUUCAUACUGUCACAUCUGUUUUACAUAAAAGUUUACCAAACACUAUCAUACUGUUUUUAUUUUUUUCCAAAAGCACUUUUACAAAAAAAUUUACCAAACACUCUGCUGCUUUAUUUUACAACCACUUAUUCUCACAGCACAGCAGAAACAACUUUUUUGCAAAGCACAGCAAUACUAAAAGGUUUUUUUAGCUAAAAUGGUCUAUGAGAUUUGCAUAACUCUUCAAUUUGGUCCCUGAGAUUUGAAAUCGAUAUAAUUGGUUCCUUAGUUUGUCCACCAUCAAUCAUUUUGGUCAUUCUGUGAAAAAUAUCUGUUAAAUUAGGAUAAAAUGACAAAGAUACCCUUAAUUUUUGUCAAAUCGUUUUGGCCUAUUUUUUUAUUAAAGUAAGGGCAUUUUUGUUAUUUUAAUCCUUAUUUAACAUAAUUUUUCACUAAAUGACUAAAAUGAUUGAUCAUGGACAAUGUCAGGGACUGCUUUUAUUGAUUUCAAAUAUCAUGGAUCAAAGUGAGGAGUUAUGCAAAUAUCAUAAAUCAUUUUGGCUAAAAAGCUUUACUAAAAUAUAACAAAAAAUAUUUUUAAAAAAAAUUAAUGCACUCUGUCCAAUUCAGUUUGGACCGGAUUUUAAAAAUGAAAACCAAGAACCAAAUCAGUUGAGAUUUGUACAGUCCAAUUUUCGUUUGGGUUUGACAGGUUUUGGCCAACAGUUUUUUUUUUUUUUUUUUUUUUUCUUUUUCCGGUUUUAUGGCACUCGAUUUGGUUUAGUUUUUCGUUCACUUGUUUCUCUGCCCACAACUUGUUUUUGUUGUCCAUAACUCCGAAAUUGUUUUUUUUUUCUCAAAUUCUUAUGUCUUAAACUUUUAGUCCGAGAUCAUUAAAUAAUGAUUUUAGCCUAAUUUUUUUCGGUAACUUUUUGAAAAUAAAAUUUAUGUAGAUUAUUUGAAGUUAUUUUAUGAACAUUUUAAUCCAAAAAAUUUAAAUUCCGAUAAGUAAUUAAAAAUCAUACAAAUACAUAAGUGUUUAUAAAGUUUUAAGUAAAAUUUGAUUUAAAUAAUUUUAGACCUUAAAUUUAAUUUUGGAUUUUCAAAUCUUUUUUUUACCAUUAGAUUUGAUCUCAUUUGAUCACAACUGUUAGAUUAUAAGUAAAAAAAAAUGUUUGAAAUAUAAUAAUUUAGCCAGACUUAAAUCCUGAGGAAAUCUAGCCCAAAUAUGUAUUUUCUCUAUGUGGCUUAUUUUAGCCCAAUGGUUAGAGAUGAUUUGGAAGGGGUUUUAAAGCUUAUAUUUUAAGAUUUAUCCUAUGGGUUGGAUAUGCCUAAGAAUGCUAAAGAAAUCUUAGAAAAUUAGAAAAAGUAAAAUGAGAAAGUUGGAAAGAAGUUUGUUUCCUCUCAACGAAAGAAGAGUCCCUUGGAAAACUAAUGAAAAGGGCUUGAAAACUUUGAGUUUUAAUGAUAAUGACAAAAUAAAGAGUAAAGUGAAUAGUAUCAGGAUUGAUUUUUUAGUGUAAAAAUAUGAUUUUUCGUUAAAGUGAACAAUACCGGGUGCUUUUCAUUAAAGUUCCCUUGUUUUUUUGUGUAGCAGGUCAACUUGAAUGAAACAAAUUUAUAAUCACGUCACGUUCUGCUUCGAUAAUGUCAUGCUAUGUGGAAAUUACAUACACUAAUGCCCUGCGACAAAAACACUGUUCAUAAGCACAGUGAAUUGGCGAAAUAUCCUUAAUUUACUGUACACUUCCCUUCUUAUUUUCCUCAUUUGCACAGUUAAAUGACGAAAAAGGCCUUGGCUCUUUACUUGCUUUUUUCAACUCUUUCAAGUUUCAACUAGAGCCAUUGAAGGGACUCUAACACUUCACCCAGCUCACCGCCUAGCUUUUCCACCGCUUCACCCUGAACACCGCCACCACUGAUUCCUCCAAAUCCAUGAUUUCGCAGAAUCGCACCACAUAACCAGUCAACAACGCAGAGCUCUCUUCGUCCACGGCAACUCAUCGGUCCACCUCAACGCCGCGUGCGCAACAACUAGCACAAUCCCAACCAGCAGCGGCACCCAAACAUUCACCGUCACCUGGGAAGAACAGCAGUAGAACCCAUUUUGCUAAAGGUAAGCAAUAUAUCCUAAUUUAGAAUUCAAAAGUUCCUUACAAAAGCAGUUUAUCUUCUCAAACACAAGGGAAAUUGGCAAGAUAUACGGUAUAAAAAAUUCGGAAAAAAUCUGAACAAGAAAUUUAGGUCCGAGUAUUAAGGAUUGUUUUUGGUUGUGAAAAAGUUUGAUUGAAAGAGUUCCGUCAAAAAGAGGUGAAACGCUGCUCAAUACCCGGUAUGCCUAUCUGAACGUGAUUUUGGGGGUUUUGUGAGAGACUAGGAAUUAUGCGAGCAUUUGGUUUUUAUUUAUGAGAUUUCUAAUUUUGCAUUACGCCUCAAGUUUUGUGCUUGGUUUUCAACGUCUGGUUCUAUAUCAAAAUUGAGUUUAUUAAAACAUGUAUUUUCUUAACUCAAAUUUUAUCAUAUUUCUUGUACAAAAAAUGUAAUUCCAAUCUGAAGUUCUCUGUGACAAUACAGAACAAAUGGGAAAUUUUUUGAUGAGCCCAAGAACAAACAAGUAACAUGAAAAAUAAAAUAAUGUGGGCAAUUUUUGAAACCGUAUAUAUUUAGGACUUGAAAGUCCGUCCUUUUAGUCGUUCAAAUCUACAUUUUUGGUUGCACAUAGAACUUUUAACAUAGAAUUAGUAAAAUACAGAUGCAAACGACUAAACAAUGUGAGAGACUUUUGGAAAUGUAUGUAAUGUAACUUAGGAAUGUUCCCUUUGGAUUGCAAAUAUGCUUUUGAUGUAAAGUAAAUAGAAUGUAAUGUAACUUAAAAAACUACUUUACCCUAUUUGUUUAGUUGUUCUAUUAAUUUAUAAAAUGUUUUGCAAUGAAUGUAUUGCUUUGUGUAUGGUAAUAUACGUGUUUGUCAACGCAGAUAAGCUGUUUCUAGCUUCUGAACAUCAAUUAUUAUUAGGUGCCGUUAUUCAACUUUGUCUCUUUUUUGAGAUAUGAUUCAUAUUUGCUGUAAAAUGUAAAUUAAUUCUGACCAGCAAUUUUACAUUUGAACACUAAUUAUAACCAAUACACAAAGUUUAAUUACCAAGAACUACAAAUAUAAAAAAAAUAAGAUCAGAUGAUAAUUUAAAUGCUGAAUAUAAUAAACUCAUUGACUCCAUAAGUGAUUUAUUCAACAUUAUAGAUGAAUAAUAAAUAUCAUGUAGAUUCAGUUGCUUUCAUUUAUUUUUGAAUAAUUUAAAAAUGAGUGUUAAAUUUUGGUUACGGUUUCAAACCCGCAGUGGAACGCAGGCUUCUUUGCUAGUGUUUUCUACAUAACAUGAUAUUAUUAGAGCCGAACACUGCGUGCCGUAUAUUGUUCCAUAGAGUCCUUGUGAGGAGGUCAUUACUCAUUCUGAACAAAACAAAAAUAAUAAUAAAAAAUAAGGUCAUCAAACAUAGGAAGGUUUUUUGACUUUGGACUUUUGGAUCUUGCAUGAUCCAUCUACUUCGACCAAACCAGAAUUAUGCUGUUUGAAAGAUUACGCGGCCAAUGACAAAAUUAUCAAUGGGAGUCCAGCGACUGAGAUAUUCCAGACUUUUCCAAGAACUCCGAACUCACAGAACUGACAUAUUAUGUUGGUGACUGGUGAGUUUUCUGUUAAGUUGGUUGUUUUAUUUCCAUGUUCUGAAUCUGGAGUGAGAUCUUUCUGUAAAGUUAGUUAUUUCAGUUAAUUGGAAGCAAUCCUUAGCUUUGAUGAAGGUUAUUUUCAUUUCACUGCACUUUAAUGUCUGAAUUUGUUUGUUUGUAUGUUUGUUUAUAACUUUAUAUCAGCGGAGUAGUACACUCCGUUUGAAAGCUUGAUCCUUCAUUGUGCAUUCAAAUCUAAUUUGAAUAAUAUAAUCAAAGAAAAUUAAAGGUGAAUUUGGGUUUAUCGGUUUCAUUUUUCUUUUUCUUGGUAGUUAUUUAAAAUUUAGUUAUUGAAAUCAAUCAAGUUACUCUGUCAAAAUUUUUUGAUUUGAUCUUUCCAUGGAGUUUGGAAAAGGAUUAUUUCGAUAACUUGAUGAAUCUAUAUUUGGGUAUUUAUAGAACUUUUAUGAAGAUGAGAAAUGAAGUUUACUGGCACUUGAUGAUUCCAAUCUUUGGUAAAUAAUUUUGUAAGCUAAUUGAUUGAAGAUUGAAACUUAGAAGCUCAAAAAAAUGUUGUUGAAUUGAGGUACAUCUGUAACAAAUUGGCUGAAGUGUCUAGCUGCUUAUGCCUAUGCAGGUCAUCUAGUUUGCUGAAGCAUCCUCAUGGGAUCGAAUGAGAGGGGAUCCUUACUUUCAGGACUAACAGAUCCUUUGUCUCAAACAAAUAAAAACAAUGCUCCAAAGGGCAGGAGAAUUCGUCGUUGUAGAAGUGCUCCUGUUUCAGAUUAUGUAGCCUUAGAGACAGGCUUACCCUCAGGUCCACAAACCGAUCAGUCCUUUUUCGGAAAUAUACACCCGAGUUUUCGCAUUGUAGCUGCAUUCUUGACUGUCUACCUAGGCUUAGGAACUGUAUGUUUCUACCUAGUCAGGAACCAGCUCAAGGGAGAGAAGACAAAUGGAGUUCUUGAUGCUGUUUAUUUCUGUAUUGUGACAAUGACCACUGUCGGAUAUGGUGACCUUGUGCCAAACAGCGUUCUUUCAAAACUAGUGGCUUGUGCUUUCGUCUUCUCAGGAAUGGCUCUCGUCGUAAUGAUCUUGGGCAAAGCAGCUGACUAUUUGGUAGAGAAGCAGGAAUUAUUGCUCGUUAAAGCCCUACAUAC